This 2903-nucleotide ribosomal RNA is filed under the name Proteus mirabilis. RNAcentral describes it as "23S ribosomal RNA". It matches the Rfam family "Bacterial large subunit ribosomal RNA". The record is from RNAcentral. Lineage: Bacteria; Pseudomonadati; Pseudomonadota; Gammaproteobacteria; Enterobacterales; Morganellaceae.
GGUUAAGCGAAUAAGCGUACACGGUGGAUGCCUAGGCAAUCAGAGGCGAUGAAGGACGUGCUAAUCUGCGAAAAGCGUCGGUAAGGUGAUAUGAACCGUUAUACCCGACGAUAUCCGAAUGGGGAAACCCAGUAUCCAAUGGAUACUAUCAUUAACUGAAUCCAUAGGUUAAUGAGGCGAACCGGGAGAACUGAAACAUCUCAGUACCCCGAGGAAAAGAAAUCAACCGAGAUUCCCCUAGUAGCGGCGAGCGAACGGGGAGCAGCCCAGAGUCUUAAUCAAUAGCAGUGUCAGGAGAACGGUCUGGAAAGUCCGGCACUAAAGGGUGAUAGCCCCGUAUCUGAAGAUGCUGUUGUUGUGAACUCGACGAGUAGGGCGGGACACGUGUUAUCCUGUCUGAAUAUGGGGGGACCAUCCUCCAAGGCUAAAUACUCCUGAUUGACCGAUAGUGAACCAGUACCGUGAGGGAAAGGCGAAAAGAACCCCGGCGAGGGGAGUGAAAAAGAACCUGAAACCGUGUACGUACAAGCAGUAGGAGCCUCUUUAUGGGGUGACUGCGUACCUUUUGUAUAAUGGGUCAGCGACUUAUAUUCUGUAGCAAGGUUAACCGCAUAGGGGAGCCGUAGGGAAACCGAGUCUUAACUGGGCGAAUGAGUUGCAGGGUAUAGACCCGAAACCCGGUGAUCUAUCCAUGGGCAGGUUGAAGGUUGGGUAACACUAACUGGAGGACCGAACCGACUAAUGUUGAAAAAUUAGCGGAUGACUUGUGGAUGGGGGUGAAAGGCCAAUCAAACCGGGAGAUAGCUGGUUCUCCCCGAAAGCUAUUUAGGUAGCGCCUCGUGAACUCAUCUUCGGGGGUAGAGCACUGUUUCGACUAGGGGGUCAUCCCGACUUACCAACUCGAUGCAAACUGCGAAUACCGAAGAAUGUUAUCACGGGAGACACACGGCGGGUGCUAACGUCCGUCGUGAAGAGGGAAACAACCCAGACCGCCAGCUAAGGUCCCAAAGUCAUGGUUAAGUGGGAAACGAAGUGGGAAGGCUCAGACAGCCAGGAUGUUGGCUUAGAAGCAGCCAUCAUUUAAAGAAAGCGUAAUAGCUCACUGGUCGAGUCGGCCCGCGCGGAAGAUGUAACGGGGCUAAACCAUGCACCGAAGCUGCGGCAGCGACACAAAGUGUUGUUGGGUAGGGGAGCGUUCUGUAAGCCUGCGAAGGUGUACUGUGAGGUAUGCUGGAGGUAUCAGAAGUGCGAAUGCUGACAUAAGUAACGAUAAUGCGGGUGAAAAACCCGCACGCCGGAAGACCAAGGGUUCCUGUCCAACGUUAAUCGGGGCAGGGUGAGUCGACCCCUAAGGCGAGGCUGAAAAGCGUAGUCGAUGGGAAACGGGUUAAUAUUCCCGUACUGGUGGUAACUGCGAUGGGGGAACGGAGAAGGCUAGGUUGUCCGGGCGACGGUCGUCCCGGUUCAAGCAGGUAGGCAGAGUGAUUAGGCAAAUCCGGUCACUUAAUGCUGAGAUGUGAUGACGAACCACCAAGGUGGUGAAGCAAUUGAUGCCCCGCUUCCAGGAAAAGCCUCUAAGCUUCAGGUUACCAACAAUCGUACCCCAAACCGACACAGGUGGUCAGGUAGAGAAUACUCAGGCGCUUGAGAGAACUCGGGUGAAGGAACUAGGCAAAAUGGUGCCGUAACUUCGGGAGAAGGCACGCUGGCGGUAGGUAAAGUCCCUUGCGGACGGCGCUGAAGCCAGUCGAAGAUACCAGCUGGCUGCAACUGUUUAUUAAAAACACAGCACUGUGCAAACACGAAAGUGGACGUAUACGGUGUGACGCCUGCCCGGUGCUGGAAGGUUAAUUGAUGGGGUCAGCCGCAAGGCGAAGCUCCUGAUCGAAGCCCCAGUAAACGGCGGCCGUAACUAUAACGGUCCUAAGGUAGCGAAAUUCCUUGUCGGGUAAGUUCCGACCUGCACGAAUGGCGUAAUGAUGGCCAGGCUGUCUCCACCCGAGACUCAGUGAAAUUGAACUCGCUGUGAAGAUGCAGUGUACCCGCGGCAAGACGGAAAGACCCCGUGAACCUUUACUAUAGCUUGACACUGAACAUUGAGCCUUGAUGUGUAGGAUAGGUGGGAGGCUUUGAAGUGUGGACGCCAGUCUGCAUGGAGCCAACCUUGAAAUACCACCCUUUAACGUUUGAUGUUCUAACCUAGGCCCAUAAACUGGGUCGGGGACCGUGUCUGGUGGGUAGUUUGACUGGGGCGGUCUCCUCCUAAAGAGUAACGGAGGAGCACGAAGGUUGGCUAAGCAUGGUCGGACAUCAUGCGGUUAGUGCAAAGGCAUAAGCCAGCUUGACUGCGAGAGUGACGGCUCGAGCAGGUACGAAAGUAGGUCUUAGUGAUCCGGUGGUUCUGAAUGGAAGGGCCAUCGCUCAACGGAUAAAAGGUACUCCGGGGAUAACAGGCUGAUACCGCCCAAGAGUUCAUAUCGACGGCGGUGUUUGGCACCUCGAUGUCGGCUCAUCACAUCCUGGGGCUGAAGUAGGUCCCAAGGGUAUGGCUGUUCGCCAUUUAAAGUGGUACGCGAGCUGGGUUUAGAACGUCGUGAGACAGUUCGGUCCCUAUCUGCCGUGGGCGUUGGAAGAUUGAGAGGGGUUGCUCCUAGUACGAGAGGACCGGAGUGAACGCACCACUGGUGUUCGGGUUGUCAUGCCAAUGGCAUUGCCCGGUAGCUAAGUGCGGAAGAGAUAACCGCUGAAAGCAUCUAAGCGGGAAACUUGCCUCGAGAUGAGUCUUCCCUGUCGCUUUAAGCGACCUAAAGGAACGUUUAAGACUAAGACGUUGAUAGGCUGGGUGUGUAAGCGUAGCGAUACGUUGAGCUAACCAGUACUAAUGAACCGUGAGGCUUAACCUG